CCUACGGGCGGCAGCAGUGGGGAAUAUUGCACAAUGGGGGAAACCCUGAUGCAGCGACGCCGCGUGAAUGAAGAAGUAUUUCGGUAUGUAAACUUCUAUCAGCAGGGAAGAAAAUGACGGUACCUGACUAAGAAGCCCCGGCUAACUACGUCCCAGCAGCCGCGGUAAUACGUAGGGGGCAAGCGUUAUCCGGAUUUACUGGGGGGAAAGGGAGCGUAGGCGGCGAUGCAAGUCAGAAGUGAAAGCCGGGGGCUCAACUCCGGGACUGCUUUUGAAACUGUGUUGCUAGAGUGCAGGAGAGGUGAGUGGAAUUCCUAGUGUAGCGGUGAAAUGCGUAGAUAUUAGGAGGAACACCAGUGGCGAAGGCGGCUUACUGGACUGUAAAUGACGCUGAGGCUCGAAAGCGUGGGGAGCAAACAGGAUUAGAUACCCUUGUAGUC
Molecule: ribosomal RNA, 440 nt
Filed under: uncultured bacterium
Lineage: Bacteria
Description: partial 16S ribosomal RNA
Rfam family: Bacterial small subunit ribosomal RNA
Source: RNAcentral